Non-coding RNA from Jatropha curcas, 1634 nucleotides. Lineage: Eukaryota; Viridiplantae; Streptophyta; Magnoliopsida; Malpighiales; Euphorbiaceae. The record is from RefSeq and is a predicted model, not a curated record.
GUGGUGGCUGUUGAACUUGUGUGGUCCAAAACAAUUGACUUUUCCCUCUGCGUGAUUCUGGAGAAAAGAUUGGACUCUGCAGCCGAAAAAUAUAAGCAGCGCACGAAAAAGGCCCGCUUUCCGGCUUUCGUGUUCUGCAAGAGCCGAAUCAUCAGGAGACAACGGCCAUUUCUUAAAUAAAAAAAGAAAAAUAAAAAUAAAACGCACAUGUCUGCGUUAUAUUCCUCAAAUGCUACCGCAUCUUCUCCUUUUUUAAAUCCUCCUUCUUUUGUCUCCUCCUCCGCCAUUAACAUUUCUAGAUUCUCAAAACCUCAUUUCCUGCUUUGUCCACCGUCUUUUUCACCGAUUCGCCAUCGCCGUCCUUUAGUUCUUUGCUUCUCUUCUCUCUCCGAUAUGGAUGGCACGCCUGGUCAGAGUCUGUACCCGUUGCACCGUACUAAAACUAUUCAUCUGGUUAGGCAUGCACAGGGGAUUCACAAUGUUGCAGGAGACAAAGACUAUAGCGCUUAUUUAUCUGAAGAACUUUUUGAUGCUCACCUUACUCCACUUGGAUGGGAACAGGUUGAUAAUCUGCACAACCAUGUUAAAAAAUGUGGGCUGAAUAAGAGAAUCGAAUUGGUUAUCGUUUCCCCUUUGUUAAGGACCAUGCAAACAGCAGUUGGAGUUUUUGGUGGUGGGUAUACUGACGGCAUUGAGGCUCCUCCAUUGAUGAUGGCAAAUGCGGGGAAAAGUGAUCGUCUGGCAAUUUCAAGCAUAAAUUGCCCUCCGUUUGUAGCAGUUGAGCUUUGUCGAGAACAUUUGGGUGUUCAUCCAUGUGACAGAAGAAGAAGCAUCACUGAGUAUAGACCUCUUUUUCCUGCAAUUGAUUUUUCCCUGAUUGACAGUGAUGCUGACAUUUUGUGGACGGCUGAUGUCAGAGAGGAGAAUGAAGAAGUUGCAGCCAGAGGGCAAAAGUUUUUGAACUGGUUGUGGACUCGGAAAGAAAACGAGAUUGCAGUUGUUACGCACAGUGGAUUCCUAUAUCAUACAUUAAGUGCUUUUGGAAGUGAUUGCCAUCCAUCUGUGAAGAGUGAAAUAUGCACGCACUUUAAAAAUUGUGAGCUCCGAUCGGUGGUUAUUGUUGAUAGAGGAAUGGUGGGGUCAGAUUCUGCAACAACUAAUUAUCCUGGAAAAGUCCCUCAUGGCCUUGAUCUUCCUAGUGAUGUUGCAGCAGAGAAGCAUCCAGAGGCCGGGAGUGUCUGAACAAUCAUUUAUUCCAUUGAAUUCAAUACGAAAAGGUUUGCAUUUCUCCAUCAAAUGAUUACUCAAAAAAAAAAAACAAAAAAAAAAAAAAAAAAAUUAUUGAGAGAGUUACUUCAAUACCCCACAGAAGAACUAGGUCGUGAAUUCACUAGUUCAGUUGAGUUCAGUUAGGACAACACAUUAUUCCUUAAAAGGAGAUUGAUAGGCACUGAUUUUUUCUAGACUCAGUUCAGCAUUUGUGUUGGCUUGGACCAAAUUUUAUUUUGUAUUACCAUAUACGUAAACAAGUAUGUGGAAGUUGCGUAUUGUUUCAAGUUUACAUCUUUAAUGUUUUGUUAUGAUGUACUGUUAACAUUGCAAAAUUCUACUUUCAGACAUUCAAACGUUAGAAA